Long non-coding RNA from Herpailurus yagouaroundi (jaguarundi), 535 nucleotides. RefSeq lists it as uncharacterized. The transcript has 4 exons. The record is from RefSeq and is a predicted model, not a curated record. Lineage: Eukaryota; Metazoa; Chordata; Mammalia; Carnivora; Felidae.
GUGAGAUCAUGACCUGAGCCGAAGUCAGAUGCUCAACCGACUGAGACACCCAGGGGCCCCAUCGUUGCUUUUCAGAUACAAGGACUUAUUGUUAUCACUAUGUGCUGCUCUGAUUGUCAUCCUAGGAUCCUUGUUUUUGCUUUCCUCCCCCACUGGCCAUGCCAGAGAUGCUCUUACUGAAGUACUGUGGAUCGCCCACCUGACCAUUUCUAACUCCUCCGUCACUGCAGAAAGGUCUCUGGUGCCUCUCCCCAAACCAUCUUCAUAGCAUACCACAGUGUGCAGGAAACCACUGAUUCGGUGAGCAAACCCACCGCUGGAGACACAGAGAGCUGCAGCAUCACCCAACUGUCUGGGUUCAGCAAGCAACCCCUCGAGAGCCGUCACCAGCAGCAGCCAGGCUUCCACAAAUCCAAAACCCCAGGACCUUCCCGGACAAACCCGCACAUCUGGAGGCAGCAGACUGAAGGAGUAUGUUUGGUGCUGUCAGCCUGACCCAGGGCCCCUCUCACACCCGGCCUCUGCAUUCCUCUUC